GACACUACAAACCACAAAAAUAAUAUUAUUAACACUUUAAACUUCUAAACUAGCUUUAUUGUUUGCACCCCCCAUAAUAAGAUGACCGAACAGUAACGUCUGUUAUCAAAACAGUUAACUUCUGAAAAUUUUAGCGCUGGGAGUUCGGUGAAAACCGAUCAAACCGACCCGAUCAAACCGACAUUUUCGGUUAUCGGCGUAAACCGAACAGCUUCUUCCUAACCGAUCGGCGAAAUUAAUUUGGGUAAUCGGAUUUCGGUUCGGGUCGGUUUGGUAAUCGGAACCGAUCGGUUUUACUUAAACCGAGAAUCUGCAGCCAUAUAUAAGGAUACUGAGUCAUUUACCCUAAUUUGGUUUCAUUUUCUUCUGCGCCUCUGCCUCUAUCUAAAGCCGAGUUCAUCUUCUUCUCCAACCUAAGCCAUAAUCAGCACCACGUUUCUUUUUCUUCAUCAAUUGUUGUUAGCUCUUCUUCUUUCUACACCCGUAACCACAAUUUUUUAGGGAUAAGCUCUUUUUUUCUUCCCUUAAUCGCUUCUUAGUCUGAUUAUUUGUUGUUUUCUCGCUAAGCUCUUCCUCAUCACCAAACUCACGGCUGGAUUCACUGAUUUUCUUGCGGUUGGCAAAUAACAAGCUUCAUCGGACAUAAAGAUUUGACAUCACCCUUGCCGUGGUUGCCUCGCCGUGGUUGCCUCGCCGUCGCCGUCGUUGUCUCUUUGUCACCGUCGUUGUCUCGUUGUCACCGUCAACCAUUGUCGAAAACCCUAAUUUUAAUGGGUUGGGCCUUGUAAAAUUAUUUAUUGGGUUUGUAAAUUUGUUAAUGUAUUUUGAUGAUGUAAUGAGUUUGGGCUUUGUUUUCA
Long non-coding RNA from Arabidopsis lyrata subsp. lyrata, 857 nucleotides. RefSeq lists it as uncharacterized. Lineage: Eukaryota; Viridiplantae; Streptophyta; Magnoliopsida; Brassicales; Brassicaceae. The record is from RefSeq and is a predicted model, not a curated record. The transcript has 2 exons.